This 3015-nucleotide long non-coding RNA is filed under the name Neogobius melanostomus (round goby). RNAcentral's name for it is "lncRNA (ENSNMLG00000010325.1)". The record is from RNAcentral. Lineage: Eukaryota; Metazoa; Chordata; Actinopteri; Gobiiformes; Gobiidae.
ACGCACCGUUAUCUGUGGCUAUAAAAGCAAACGGAGAGAGUGGGAGCGCUCAUUACGGACGUUUGAACUGACAGGAAGAGAUGAUGGAGAGCUUCACCAAGUUUGUCCUGUUGGCUUUUGUGGCUUUCGUGGUUUGGGGAAACUCACAGGCCACGACGGUGAAUUCCACCACGACAGGAAGUCCCGCCUCGACAGCUGUGACCACCAAAACCCCGGACAGCUCCACGGUCCCCUCCUCGACCAAAGACAUGAACUCCACAACCCCCGACUCCACCACAGCCAAUCAGACCACAGCUGCCAACGCCACCCUGACCACGCCCCACGGAGGGACGCCAUCUUUGAUCCAAACGUGGGGUCAGCUCGUCGCCCUGGUGCCGGCGCUGGUCCUGCUCAGCGUAUAACGAUUUCCAACAGACUGAUCUCACCGUCACUCCUUCGCACUUAAAAAGCAAAUAACGCCCUUUCAACACACGAAGCCACAUUACACUGAAGCAAAAAUGUAUUCUGCCAAUCACGUCAAAACAAGCCAGGCUUAAAUGGAACUAAAAACAGAAAAAUCUGGACUGAAACAAACUUUUUUCCACGUUUGUUUUUGGGCUGUGUUUGCAAAAGAGUGUGUAAAUCUCAUCAAUCAUAUGGACUAACAAUAAUUACUCACUUUAAUGCACACGUAAAGUAGAACUGAUGAGGCCACUUGGUUGAGAGGUGAAACUGAAAAGUCGACUCUUUGAAACCAGCGGGCUAAAUGUUCUGCUAAACUGACUUUCUGUCUCUUUUAACCGUGUUCAAAUGUUGUUCCGUUCACGCGUGUUUGAGCCAGGGAGGUCUCCAAGAUGAUUUCAUGUCUUUUUUUUCUUUUUUUUAGUUUUAAACGUGUUAAAAUACAUGAUCUAAACUUGAUUUGAAAUGUUUGUUGCCAUAAGUAAUAGGCAAUAACUAUUCACUGUGGGGGUCCAGGGGUUUGAGUAAUUCUGCACACUCGGUCUGUCUCAAAACACACUGGUCCUGUGAAAAACAGGAGUUGUUUCCAUAGUGCAAGUGCAUCACAGUGUUCAACCACUGCUGUUCAGCCUUAUUUAAAGUGCAUAUGACACACCAGACACAGUUACUGCUAAAACAUAGUGAACACAAUUGUAUUUAAUAUUUUACUAAAAAACGUACCCAGCUUUCUCUAGUUUGACCAUGUUUGUGAUGUUCAUAGUUUCACUUCCUUUUUAGUUGUUAAGUGGUGAUGUCAUUGCUCCACAGCCGGGUCCAAUUCUCUAUAAUGGGAUGGUUCAGACCUCUGUUUAGAUCAGAAAUAUCACUUUUAUUUUGGUAAUGCUUUAAUUAUAGUAUCAAAUAUUUCCACACACAAUGAAGUCUUAUUUCAAAUAUAACAUGUUUUCAUUUUUCCUGGAGAAAUUGUGAGAUAUAUUAUUGAUUGAUUGAUUAGAUUUAUUUGAGUGAUUUUUACAACAACAUUAUUACAGUGCAGAAAACAAACAAAGCAACAAAAAAACUCAAAAGGAGUAUAGGCCGAAGCAAGAAAGCUUAUAAGUGCCUAACCACAUAUUCAAGAUUAAUUUACAUUCCGGAUAGAGUGAUACAUCAUCUCAUGUUUACAUACAAUAUAACACGUUACAUUACAAAUUCCUGAAUUACUUAUUUUUAUUUACAAUUUGUACUUUUUUCUUUUCUUAUUCCUCAUUCCGUUCACAUAAUAACCAUAUCCAAUCAUUACUUAUAAACACCAGUCACCAUUCUAUUAAUUGACUAUUAAUUUAGUUAUAAUAAGUAUUACAUAGUCAACACGACCCAUUAUUAUUGUCAUUCCCAUUUCCACUGUAAAAAUAUUGGUUGUGAUUGUUUUAUUAUUUUUGUUGUUUGCCUUGUUUAGUGAGGUGCCUUAAAAAGCCAGGGGGUAAUGUGGCCAGUAGGUAGAGGGCAGUAGCCCCCACCAGCAAGCCCUCACCCUGCUGCCCUAACUAGCUGUUGUUGUGAGGCAGUUCUGAGCCCUAUACUGGAGAUUCAGAUAAAGUUGCCGUUUGUUUGGACCCGGAAGUAGCUUAUUAUUGUGUGUGUGAUGUCACACUUAACAAACGUAUUGGACGCUGACAGGAAGUGACUUAGAUAGAGGCAAACGAUUUUAAUCUGUUGCCGUGCCAACCGUGUUAUGUUACUUGGAAAUGAGUCAAACUGUUAUGGAACUUUACCUCUAUCUAUGUCACUUCCUAAGAUUCCAAUAGAAAUCACUUUUCUGCCCAUUCAUUUGCUGCUUCACUGAACAAUAAACAAUAAUUACUACUUACAGCUGUUAUCCAUCUAAAUAAGUCUGUCAUGUGCACUUUAAGGUUUAAUUCUCCUGUUUUGUUGGUUGAGCAUAAAUGGGACACUUUAUGAAGGAACCUCCAUUCUGUAUAAUACAUUCCUUUAAUUGACCUACAAAUGUCAUUGCAAUAAUACUGUAAAUAUUUUGUCAGAAAUGUUUCAUCUUUAUACUUGAAAUAACUAUUUUAUAAUAACAUGUCGCAUAAAUGUAUUAAUUGGAUUUCACACAGAGCACAACUUUUAUUUAAUUUCUUAAGCUUCAAAUGGUUUUCUCGCACUUUACUCAAUGACUGUCGAGCAACACUGAACUGUAAGAGUGAAUGUUGGGAAAUGUUGCGUUGUAAUUUGCACAAAACGAUAAAUAAAAGAUCCGGACACUGCUUUCAUUGGCUCAUUUGUUUAUUCCACUCCUCAUAGCCUCGACGUCUCCCCGGCUUCAUGGAUCAUUGCUCCUUCAGUCGUUCAAUGCAAAGGUGCAAUAUUAAGUCUCACGAGGGACGGGGACUUUUAUUGCACGUUUCUCAAAGUGCCACACUGUCGUCAGUCCUUAAAGGGAUAAUUCAGGAUUUUUGACAUAGGGCCUAUUCCUAGCUAUCCAGGGUGUUAUUUUUUAUUCAUGCAGUUCUUAUAUUUGAAGAGUCUAAUGGCGCUAGGCUAGUCUUAGGCUAGCGCAUUUCUACAGUAACAGCUAGCCUGCAUUAAAAC